GAUCAUGGCUCAGGAUGAACGCUAGCUACAGGCUUAACACAUGCAAGUCGAGGGGCAGCAUCAUCAAAGCUUGCUUUGAUGGAUGGCGACCGGCGCACGGGUGAGUAACACGUAUCCAACCUGCCGACAACACUGGGAUAGCCUUUCGAAAGAAAGAUUAAUACCGGAUGGCAUAAUUAUUCCGCAUGGGAUAAUUAUUAAAGAAUUUACGGUUGUCGAUGGGGAUGCGUU
RNAcentral lists this ribosomal RNA (231 nucleotides) under uncultured bacterium. RNAcentral describes it as "partial 16S ribosomal RNA". It matches the Rfam family "Bacterial small subunit ribosomal RNA", at positions 15 to 237 of the family's 1533-position model. The record is from RNAcentral.